This 121-nucleotide ribosomal RNA is filed under the name bacterium MS4. The record is from RNAcentral.
UAGUUGGUACUGAUGACGGUGAGGGUCCACCCGUUCCCAUCCCGAACACGGAAGUUAAGCUCACUGGUGCCGAAGAUACUUGGCUGGUAACGGCCCGGGACAAUAGGAAGGUGCCANCCUG